This 250-nucleotide ribosomal RNA is filed under the name uncultured bacterium. Its description in RNAcentral is "partial 16S ribosomal RNA". It matches the Rfam family "Bacterial small subunit ribosomal RNA", at positions 527 to 776 of the family's 1533-position model. The record is from RNAcentral.
GUAGGGUGCAAGCGUUAAUCGGAAUUACUGGGCGUAAAGCGUGCGCAGGCGGCUUUGCAAGACAGAUGUGAAAUCCCCGGGCUCAACCUGGGAACUGCAUUUGUGACUGCAAGGCUAGAGUACGGUAGAGGGGGAUGGAAUUCCGCGUGUAGCAGUGAAAUGCGUAGAUAUGCGGAGGAACACCGAUGGCGAAGGCAAUCCCCUGGACCUGUACUGACGCUCAUGCACGAAAGCGUGGGGAACAAACAGG